CUGGUGCUUGCGACGCAGAGAAAAGAAGGCAGAAAAUAUAAUCAUUAGAAACUCUCUAGAGGAAAUAUAACUUGAAUCAUCAUGCAGAAACUUACUAUCAAUUUAUUGGUCUUGAUAACGAUGUUACUUACAAUAACCAGCACCGAAUCCUUGGAUUCUUCCUCAGACUCUUCUUCUGAAUCUUCGGAAGAUCAAUCAGGUGAUGAAUGCAAUCCAAACCCGUGUUUAAAUGGUGGCACGUGCAAUUUAUUGACACCGUCAGGAUUCCAGUGUUUGUGUGUAUUUCCACCUCCAUUAUCAGGACCUUUGUGCGAAUUUGUAUCAAGUCCAGCAUAAUAAUUGUAGAAUUGUCCAAUAGAAGCAUUGACAACAAGAGGAAGAAGGAAAAUAAAAAGAUCAUUCAGCCAAAACAAAAAUUAUGACCCACUUUAGAAAAAUUCUUGUCGCCUGCGUUAUUGGUCAUCUGUUACAAACACAUGAUGGAUAAUGUACAUUAAAAAUAGGUUCUUACAUUAGAAAUAGCAUAUUAUUGAUAUUUUAUAACAUCAGUCGAUCUAUAAAUGCCACUUUUGGUAGUUUAUUAUAGUUGCUGUUUUGUCUUAUGCAGGUAAUUAUUUAAAAAUGUACUGUUUCAAGGGCUAUCUCUAAAAUGAAUUUAUGUUGCGGUUACAGGUUUCUUUAAGGAUUUCUAAUACUUAGCACUGUUGGUACUGUAAUAGAUCGACUAAUUGUUGUUGUUUCUAUAAUUAACGUUAUAAAACAUAUGAUGAAGUUUUAAAAUCAUGUUUCCCUGUUAGGAAAAACGCUAUAUAUUCUUUAGGUUUAUGUUUUAAUUUAGUUGUAUGUCUUAUUAUGCCUCGUAACGAAGUUUCAUGUAUUUGAAAUGGCCAUUCCAGCACUAUGUUAUACGAAGCACAUCCGCAAUUUUUUGUGCGGUGUUUAUGACAUUUUAAAUGGUCAGAGGGCUGUCAUUUUUUCUUCUAUAUGAUGUUCAAUUUUAAAAUCAGAACAAAUGUAAAUAUUCAAAUUUUUUUUUUUAGAAUACAGCUUAACAUUUUUAUUCUCUCUCCUGACGGAAGAAAACGUCAUAUUUAUUGUAUUGUAUAUCUGAUGUGUUAUCAAACAUGUUGCAUUAAGUAAAUGUUUAAUUUCUUUAUGUUAAAGAAUUUACAGGUUUACUAUGUUUUACCCUCCGUAACAUGAGUUAAUGCACAUAUAGAUCUAUAUCAACAUUCAAUAUUGUUUAAACGCUAUCAAUAUUGUUGUAGAAAUUUCUGUGAGCCGGACCUUUAAAGACUACAAGUUAAGAAGUAUUAUUUAACUUUCGCCUUCAUAACAUUUUUUUCAAUAAUAAGUGCAUCCAAAUUUUGGUUUUGGCUGCCGUAUGAUGAAUCUAAAAUAAUUGAAAAGCGUUUAUAGACAAUAAGACUAUCUUGGCCAAUGAGAAAUGAAUGCAUAUGCACUUGAUAUAACGAUUUCAAUAAAAGUAUUGUUAAAGUCAA
Mercenaria mercenaria is the source of this 1502-nucleotide long non-coding RNA. RefSeq lists it as uncharacterized. The record is from RefSeq and is a predicted model, not a curated record. The transcript is spliced from 5 exons. Lineage: Eukaryota; Metazoa; Mollusca; Bivalvia; Venerida; Veneridae.